AAAAAGUAAACACAGCCAUGUUAGAGAGUAGUUGCAAAUGUUAGCCACCUCUAGAGCCAUGUACCUAUCCUUGUUCCACACAUGAAGCUUCCACUGAUCCUCCACUGGGAGUUUUGGGGAAAACUAAAGACUGGAAAGUGGCCCAUUAAUUGUGUUACUUGAAAUAUGGGCAAGGCUGUGUAAGAGACUUGUUGCUCUAAAUCCUACAAGUAAUGGUGCCAUCCUCAGAGUACCCAUGACUGACUUGAGCCUAAUUUAACCAACCUGAAAUUACCACUCUUCACUUGCUGUAAAUUUCAGGCUUGUCUACACCAGGGGUUCUCAACCUUUUUCUUGCUGAGGCCCCCCUCAACAUGCUAUAAAAAUGCCAGGGCCCAGUGGGGGUGGGGGGUAACUCAGGGCUCCAGGCCGGGUGGCGGCACUCUUGUGUAUAGGUGUAGUUUUACUUCUAUUUGGGGGUCCAGGGAGGGAGCGCCACUUCCACCCCCGACUCACUCAGGAGAUCACCCAGCCUGUCUGGGGAUGCAACUGAAAAAUAUAAUGCAGAGAGGGGGACUCAGUUCAAAAAAAGGUUAAAAACCACUCAGGGUGCAGGCAGGGGGUAGCUAGGGGCUGUGUGAAGUGAGGGGGUAGCUCAGGGUGCAGGCAGGGGGUAGCUAGGGGCUGUGUACAGACACAUGGGGGGGGGGCUCCCAAUGCAGCUCCCAGCUUCAGCCCCCACUGCUCCUGGCUUAUUUAGUGUCCUGCAUCAUGCUGGGCAGUGUCAGUGCUUAACAAAUAAUACAGCCUUACCUGUCUGAUGAAACUACCUAUUUUGUAUUUUCACUUCCUUAGAGCCCAGAUGUGAACCCAAUUGCAUGUCCUUCUAAUGCCUUCUGCCCAGCUGGGAGCACUCAACCACAAUAUUGUAUGGAAACAUUUCUUUAUAAGGCAGGAAACUCUUGUGAACUGGCUCCUCUAACCAUUGUAUUACUAGCUGUUUCUUCAGCAGGUGGAGUCCUGCUUGUGUCUGUAAUAAUUCUGAAACAAAGGCAAGAAAAUGGCAGGAAAACUUUAAAAUCUCCAUUACUUUCAAAAGGAGCGAGACCACACACAACUUAUGGUGUGACUGGGCGCACAGAACCAGUAUAUGCUGGCUGGUAGUCGGCUAGGAUUGUAUAGAGUUGUAAAAAUCACAAGCAUUUUCCCAGUUUCUUUUCUCAUGUCUGGUGAUUUGACAGAUGUUUAUUUAGGACUGUGGGUCUGGGCAGAAUGUAAAACAUUAUUAAUCCAUGGGGAUUUGUUUGUGUAGCCAAAAUAUUUAAUUUUAGCCAUGAGUGAACAAAAAUGAAACUUAGAAAGUGAUUUGAUUUGUCUGGCUUAAUUCAGGAAAAAGAAUAGGUGCAUCCUUGCACAUUAUCACUCCCACCGCCAAGGGAGAAAAUUGUGUGUCAUGGCAAUCCUCUCAAUUUCAACAACAGACAAUACCAUGAGUGAGCAUGUGGUAGCAUCAUUUAACAUGGUCUCUUUACAGUAUGCUAGCUAUUCCUACCAUGGCAGGACUUAACACAAACAUAAUUCCUCUUCAGAACAUACAGAAUCUCUUCUUCCACUCCCAGAACAUGACUGUUUCCCCUAAGCAGGAGUGGGGCAGAGAAAGCUGCAUGAUCCCAGAUUCACCCUUCCCCCAUAACUGAGAGAGGAUAUCUGUAGGGAAAGUGGUGGGCAAUUAUGGAAAAAUACCUCUCCAGUGUUUGCUGCUAGACCCCAAUGAAACUGGCUGCAGAAGCUGCUCACUAUUAUAGGGCUGCUGCAUCAGGGAAGCAGCCCAACAGUCAUUUCCUCUCCUUCAAGGCACUCAGCUCUAAAUGCAACCCGGCCCCUCAGAGCCACCGAACUGCACAUAGCAUUGGUGAGCAGGAGCAACAAAAGGAAUGUCUACUCUGCAAAAACAGACCCAUAGUAGCAAAUCUCAGAGUCCAUGUCAACUGACUUGGGCUUACAGCACGCCCCCCCAGCCAGGUUUCAGAGCCCAGGCUCCAGCCCGAGCCCGAAUAUCUACACUGCUAUAUUUUAGCCCCAGAGUGUGAACCCGAGUCAGUUGAACUGGGUUCUGAGACUCACUACUGAGAGUCUUUUUUUUGCUGCAAACACAUAACCAAAA
This is a long non-coding RNA of Chrysemys picta bellii (western painted turtle), 2143 nucleotides long. NCBI's taxonomy places the organism in Eukaryota, Metazoa, Chordata, Testudines, Emydidae. The record is from Ensembl.